This 226-nucleotide long non-coding RNA is filed under the name Elaeis guineensis (African oil palm). RNAcentral's name for it is "long non-coding RNA (EGUI_LNC015715)". The record is from RNAcentral. Lineage: Eukaryota; Viridiplantae; Streptophyta; Magnoliopsida; Arecales; Arecaceae.
GUGAACAAAUGGGAAAAGAUUAGUUUAUGUGCUAAAUAAGAAUCAAGAAGGUAUGCUUUGGAGGAUGUAUUAUAAAAUUUGAACGAGCAAUCUCAACAAAGCCAUCAAACUUGAUGACUAAAACAUAUACCAGUGAGAUCAUUUUUGCUAAUUCAAAUUGGCUGGAGAAGGAUAAUGAGAUAGAGGAAGAUGUGAAUAGCAGAAUUAGAUCAGACAAGUUGUGAUA